UCCGGGUCCCGGAGGGCAACAGCCCGCCAACUCCGCCAGGACCCCGAAGGUAGCAACGGUACGUGGUGUCUGAGGUCGCUUCGUCAGACCCGGAGCA
This 97-nucleotide signal recognition particle RNA is filed under the name Gemmatimonadaceae bacterium. Its description in RNAcentral is "signal recognition particle sRNA small type". It matches the Rfam family "Bacterial small signal recognition particle RNA". From Rfam's summary of the family: The signal recognition particle (SRP) is a universally conserved ribonucleoprotein involved in the co-translational targeting of proteins to membranes. Archaeal SRP consists of a 7S RNA and homologues of the eukaryotic SRP19 and SRP54 proteins. Lineage: Bacteria; Pseudomonadati; Gemmatimonadota; Gemmatimonadia; Gemmatimonadales; Gemmatimonadaceae. The record is from RNAcentral.